This 104-nucleotide microRNA precursor is filed under the name Otolemur garnettii (small-eared galago). Its description in RNAcentral is "miRNA (ENSOGAG00000021351.1)". Lineage: Eukaryota; Metazoa; Chordata; Mammalia; Primates; Galagidae. The record is from RNAcentral.
GGGGGUCUGAAAGAUCUCGCUGGGGCCUCCAAAAUGUUGUGUCUCACACAGCUGAGAGAAAGUCGGAACCCACUUUUGAUACAAUAAUCAAUAGGAAUUUAUUA